UAAGACGUUACCAUCUGUGCUUAACC
Molecule: non-coding RNA, 26 nt
Filed under: Bombyx mori (domestic silkworm)
Lineage: Eukaryota; Metazoa; Arthropoda; Insecta; Lepidoptera; Bombycidae
Source: RNAcentral